GUCCAUUAGACUUCAAUAUAGAAUUGACAGAGCAGGUGAUUCCAGUUUUAAGGAAGUUAACACAGUCCUUUAGGUUGCAACAGUAAUUGUUGAAAAUUAAAAUAGAUCCUGGUUUGGAUAGUGGUUAUAGUCUUUCAGACUCUAACAUAAUGAGUAAUAUCAAUAAUUAGGGAUGAAUAAUUAGUAAAAGAGACUUUUAAUAGAGUAAUCAAUAUGCAAUGGAAUCCCAGAGGGCAGACUUGUAAAUCUUUUCCAGAGCAGAGUGGAUUAUGGUUCCCUGUAGUAUGUGGAGGAAUGCAGGAAUCUGUGGUGACGUCUGUUCCUAGUAUGGGGGUGGAGAGUUUAGAGUAGCUAGGAUCAAGUCAGAGAGGUUCGGUACACAGGUAAUCAAAUAGUAGAGCUCCGUCAGCAAACAGCAACCAGGUAGCAAGUAUGCGAGAGGCACAAACCAAACAAAAAUUGAUUGAGCCCUUUGGAUGUUGCAGCUUCCUUUUGAAGGUGGGUAGUGCCAUUUGGACUUGGAACAACGUGGAGGAAUCCAGAAGAACAUGUGGGAAUCCUGACAAGAGUGUGUGAGGGUGAAGUGUGUUUGUGAGCGGUGCAGUGUGUGUGUCUUGGGGGUGUGAUGGUUGCAGUGCGUGUGUGAGGGAUAAAGUGUAUAUGUGUGUGAAGGGCAGUGGCGGAUUCUGGGGGGAGUGCAAUGGGCACAUUUCUGGGCAGCCAGCACAUAGAGAAGAGGAGACCCGGGAGCUUUAGCUUGCAGCUCUGCCGGGUCUCCUCUCGCGAGCACGGAGAAUUUCCACUGUUACCAUGGCAACAAUCCUUUUUCACGAGAGUGAACUCUAGCCCAGGAGGUGCAGGCUGGAGUUCACUCCCCACUAGAACCGCCAGGGAUUCACCACGGAUUGGAAAUAAUAUCCUCCCUCCCAAACAAAGGUAAAAAGGGAGGGGGAUAUAAAUUAAUUUUAAAAAAACAAAAAAACAUUUGU
Non-coding RNA from Pelobates cultripes (western spadefoot toad), 989 nucleotides. The record is from the annotation of a GenBank genome assembly. Lineage: Eukaryota; Metazoa; Chordata; Amphibia; Anura; Pelobatidae.